Molecule: long non-coding RNA, 466 nt
Organism: Drosophila subpulchrella
Lineage: Eukaryota; Metazoa; Arthropoda; Insecta; Diptera; Drosophilidae
Exons: 2
Source: RefSeq, a predicted model, not a curated record
AUUCGCUACAGACGGUAUGUAUUUUCUCAGUGGCCAGUGGUGGCCCAACUGCCCCCCGUCCAGAGGGUCCUCUCUUUUGCAGCUGCAUUGUCAAUUUCACACGCCAGUUGGUCUGCUCUCUCUUCUCGUCGAUGUCCUAGUCCUUGGUCCUUGUUCACCCAUUACCACCCCCUCAGCCCACUAGAGUGUAUUUUGUUAUUGCUAACCAUUCGUGGCACGUUCAAUUGAUUGAAUUGAAGUCGCAUAGCAGCGCUUCUCAUCGCACUGGAAUGGAAUGAAACACUGAGAACAUGUUUUUGUUUUUUUGGAUUUAAAUACAUUUUUAAACUUUAAAGUACUAUAUGGUAUGAAAACUAUAGCUUGGUUCAUAAGAAAACGUAAGAUGAAAUCAAUCAAUAUCCCUUAUUGAUUUGUAUGAUUAUUUAUUAUAAUAUAAUAGUGUCAGUAAACGCCCUAUGAAAGCAAA